UCUUCGUUUUCUUCUCCAACAAGGCAUUUGUGCUGUCUCGACCACAAGGAACCUCGCUUACAACAGUUUCACGGCUUCUGCAAUCUCAGCUGAGCUAAGCUUGAUAAACUGUUCAUGGGGCUAGCUAGAAAGACCCAACCCUUCACUUUUAAGCCAAACUCCAACAAAGCUUCUUCAGCUAACUUUCUAAGAUGUAAUGUAAGCUAAAUAAAUAGUAAAUACUAAUGCAGAAUUCCAAACUUUAGGGAUUCCAGCAGAAAAUCUGUUCAUAGUUAUCGACAGUGAUCCCCUCUCCGAGGAGCGGUGGUUACCGAAGCUUCUCCAACUUUCUAUCUUUGCCCCCUUUGUUUACUAAGCUCUUUAAAGUUCAAUUAUACAGUUUCAGGGGUGUUAUCCAAGUCUCAGCCUCCCUUGUGGAGCAUUUUAUCAAAGGCAAGUAUGCGUCAUUCGCUCGUGCCGUUUAUGACCAAUCACUGGUUGAGGAUUUCGCGGAGUACGCCUCCAUGGACGAAUCCAAUAUGGCUUCAACAGAAUUUUCAAACUUUGCAAGCUUCUUCAAGUCUAGCACAUCUUUGGAAAACUCAUGGAGCUUUUAUCCUAUGUCCCUUUGUGUAAUCUCAAUUUCAGUUUGUAUGAACCCUCCUCCUUUAAGGUUUUAGUUUAAUGCAAGGUUGUUUGACAACAAAAAAAGUUAUCGACCAUGGAAUCCGUAAUACUUGCUCCUUCGUAGGUAUCUGU
Arabidopsis thaliana (thale cress) is the source of this 738-nucleotide long non-coding RNA. RefSeq annotates it as other RNA. The transcript has a single exon. Lineage: Eukaryota; Viridiplantae; Streptophyta; Magnoliopsida; Brassicales; Brassicaceae. The record is from RefSeq.